Molecule: long non-coding RNA, 2569 nt
Organism: Populus nigra (black poplar)
Lineage: Eukaryota; Viridiplantae; Streptophyta; Magnoliopsida; Malpighiales; Salicaceae
Exons: 4
Source: RefSeq, a predicted model, not a curated record
ACAAGUAAAAAAAGAAAAGAAAAGUGAAAUUGAAAAUACUCAACAAUCCACUGUUCCAAUGCUGCAGAGUACUAUCUCAUGCCCAUCAUCAUCCUCUCACUGGUCACUACUGCUGCCGGUGCGGUGCGGGGCAGUGCAGACAGAAGAAAGAAAUUAAAUUCAAAGAGGCUGAUGAUAGACAAAAACAAUCAGCUACACUAGUAGUAGUUUCCAUUUCCUUAAUCCAAAGCCAAUCGUUUCGGAAAAGCAGAAACCUCAGCAAGUCAGCAUCGACGCCAUUCAAACAAUACAAACCUUAAAAAAAAAAAAGCGAGCUUACACACAAAAACGACAAGUCGCUGCUUGAUCAACCUUUCCGUUCUAAAUCCAACCGAUUGUUGAGUUCGUUUUGACUGCCGUUCCUCGCCAACUCCUCCGCCAGAACCACUGCCUUUUGGCUCUCAAGGUCAAAUAUCAUUCAUUAUUUAUUUUUGAAACCCAAUCACAGAGGAGUACUGGUACAAACCACAAGUGGUGUUUUAUGAUGAGAUGAUUAAAGUAAUGUCUAGCAAUGGAUUUAUUGACGAGGUCCGGCUUCUUUUUUUUAGGUAUUUGGAGACUGAAAUUAGUGGUGAUUUACAGUGAAUUUAAUCAACUGUUAAUGACUCUGAUUAGUUUUAAGCUGAGUGGACUUGUUAUGGAGUGCUAUGAAGUGCCUAUUUGUAUUCGAAGAAAUGUAAAAAAGUAGUUUUUUUUUUUGUUAUUUUUUUAAUAUUAACAUCAAUUCAAAAAUUAAAACUAGAAAAAAAAUCCAAUAUACAAAGUCUGUUGUAAUAGGAUGUGAACCUAACAGGUCUACAUUUAAAUUACUCGUUAGUGGUUUAGAAUACAUUGGCGAAUCUGUUACUGUCAGGCAGGAUGCUUACAAGUAUUACGGUGACUCCCUCAAUUACGACGGGGGAAGAGAUAGCUAGUUGAGUUACUUAAAGUAAGAGAUAGAUCAAAAUCCCAGCUUUUGAAUUGGUUAGUUCACCAUCACUUGGCAGUAAGAGUACCUUGUGAAGAACAACCUGGAAUGUGUGUUCAACUUCAUGUUGCUGACAGAGAAAUCAUACAUGGCCUUUUGGUUCUGCAAUGCCAACAUGUUGUAUCAGAUAUGUAGUAGAAACUCGCUUCUUUUACUCUCCUUUCAUUGGAAUAUGAAAGUUGAGAAUCGAAGUAAAUCAUCUCAAAGUACAGCCUAGUUCAUGAAGCAAGGAUUGCCUGGUUAAAAACUCACGUAAAUGCUGCCUCUGACAUCUCGAAGUGUUCUUUCGGGAAAUUACACCAGCCACCAUAAUCCGCCGAAAGCCCGUAAUUUGGAGGACAGAAAUCUGUUGCAGUGAGAAUGACCGAGGGGCUACCCUGCAGGCACCAUAAGAUGUGGUCGACACAUCUGACCUCGAAGCAAGCCCCACAGGUACUCCCUCUGUUGAACAGCAUGCUACUUAGUCCAGCACUGUACUUUCCAUAGGUGGCCUUGUGAAGGUCCGCAUACCCACAAGCACCUUCUGCAACAUUAAACAAUGACAGUUUAAUCUUUACAAUCCAAACUGGAACUUUUUUUUGUGGAAUAUGAAACACCAUUAAGAGUUGAAGAAACAGAAUGUUUCACCCUUACUAGGACCAGUUGGUAGAAAAUUACCUACAACGAUUGAUCCAUUUGUUUCCUUAACGUAUGUUGCAGUGGCAGACUUCCAUUCCUCAUCAUCAGCGGUGAUCUUCCAUGUCUGGUGCAUAAUCAAGUAGAGAAGCAUGGCUUUUAGAGCACCCAUUUGAUAAGCAACGACUAUGAGAAUUCUGAUUUGUACUUGAUGAGAUUCUUUUCUUCUUGUUUUUUCCCUUUCUUCUCUUCUCUGUGAAAUUAUGGUCUUGAGUGAAGAGAAAGACCACCCUUUUCUUCGGGAAAUGACCCGAAUCUCCUUGCUGAAAUGAAGCUAGCUUUGUUGGUUAGAUGGCCACCCCUUAUACGAAACUGUGAAAUUUUGACAAAUAGGCUCUUUGGGAGAACGUAGUCCAAAAUGUAGGGACGUGCAGCAAGCCCGAGAGGAAGGGUAGCUUUGGUCUAUCAUGGACAAAAGCAAUGCCUUCUUUUCUUUGAUUUUUUCAAGCUGGGAAUGUAAACUCAAAAAAGGGUUUAGGGAUUGUGUAUGGAGGUUGCAUGGUUUGUUGUUGUGGCAGACACGGAGAGCGGAAAGUCUUUGGCCCUGUUUCUACUUGCGUGCACUCAUUUGUUGUUAUUUACAUAAUUUGGCUCGUCUUUUGAGAAGAAACGAAUGGGGAACCCCAUGGCCAUAUGGAAGAGAAAGUGUGAUUGACUAAUUGGAAGCUUUGAUGAGUAUAUUUGGAGUUGAUUGGCUUCUAUGAGAUGAAGCAAGAUGUAUGGUGAAAUUAUGACCACGCAGUUGCCUCUGCUGUGCCUGCAGCCUGCUCAUAAAGAAACUGUGUGCCCGAACGGUUUGCUUGGGCAUUCGCGCGAGGGUGCUUUACUGUAGGAAUUCUUGUAAAUAAUGAAAAUAAUAAAUAUUAUUUUAAAAGAUUUUUUUAUUUA